GAAACAGAAAUCAGGAAGACGUCUGUGUUUUCUCCCAAGUACUGACUCACUCAGCAGCAGAAGGACAUUAAGACAGCAAGAGUCACUGUGACAUCUGUAACUGGAGCCAUAUCCUCAUAACUUUGGGCCUUUGCUGGGGCACAACAGUGUAUUUUGACUUGUGUAUAUAGAGCUGAUUAAAGGUGGCCUGCCUUUUGUAAAAUGUGUAAACUUCUUAAUAAAAGCAUUUCUCUGCAUGUCUGCUAAAGUAAACUGUAAAAUGUCUUGUGAAAUAAAGUCUUUUGAAUGUCUGA
Periophthalmus magnuspinnatus is the source of this 293-nucleotide long non-coding RNA. RefSeq lists it as uncharacterized. The record is from RefSeq and is a predicted model, not a curated record. NCBI's taxonomy places the organism in Eukaryota, Metazoa, Chordata, Actinopteri, Gobiiformes, Gobiidae. The transcript has 2 exons.